This 549-nucleotide ribosomal RNA is filed under the name Aureobasidium pullulans. Its description in RNAcentral is "eukaryotic LSU rRNA". It matches the Rfam family "Eukaryotic large subunit ribosomal RNA", at positions 92 to 656 of the family's 3401-position model. The record is from RNAcentral. Lineage: Eukaryota; Fungi; Ascomycota; Dothideomycetes; Dothideales; Saccotheciaceae.
AGUGAAGCGGCAACAGCUCAAAUUUGAAAGCUAGCCUUCGGGUUCGCAUUGUAAUUUGUAGAGGAUGCUUUGGGUAAAACGCCAGUCUAAGUUCCUUGGAACAGGACGUCAUAGAGGGUGAGAAUCCCGUAUGUGACUGGAAAUGUUAACCUAUGUAAAGCUCCUUCGACGAGUCGAGUUGUUUGGGAAUGCAGCUCUAAAUGGGAGGUAAAUUUCUUCUAAAGCUAAAUAUUGGCGAGAGACCGAUAGCGCACAAGUAGAGUGAUCGAAAGAUGAAAAGCACUUUGGAAAGAGAGUUAAAAAGCACGUGAAAUUGUUGAAAGGGAAGCGCUUGCAAUCAGACUUGUUUAAACUGUUCGGCCGGUCUUCUGACCGGUUUACUCAGUUUGGACAGGCCAGCAUCAGUUUCGGCGGCCGGAUAAAGGCUCUGGGAAUGUGGCCUCCACUUCGGUGGAGGUGUUAUAGCCCAGUGUGUAAUACGGCCAGCCGGGACUGAGGUCCGCGCUUCGGCUAGGAUGCUGGCGUAAUGGUUGUAAGCGACCCGUCUUG